GAUGAACGCUGGCGGCGUGCCUAAUACAUGCAAGUCGAACGAACAGACGAGGAGCUUGCUCCUCUGACGUUAGCGGCGGACGGGUGAGUAACACGUGGAUAACCUACCUAUAAGACUGGGAUAACUUCGGGAAACCGGCGCUAAUACCGGAUAAUAUAUUGAACCGCAUGGUUCAAUGGUGAAAGACGGUUUUGCUGUCACUUAUAGAUGGAUCCGCGCCGCAUUAGCUGGUUGGUAAGGUAACGGCUUACCAAGGCAACCAUGCGUAGCCGACCUGAGAGGGUGAUCGGCCACACUGGAACUGAGACACGGUCCAGACUCCUACGGGAGGCAGCAGUAGGGAAUCUUCCGCAAUGGGCGAAAGCCUGACGGAGCAACGCCGCGUGAGUGAUGAAGGUCUUCGGAUCGUAAAACUCUGUUAUUAGGGAAGAACAAAUGUGUAAGUAACUAUGCACGUCUUGACGGUACCUAAUCAGAAAGCCACGGCUAACUACGUG
RNAcentral lists this ribosomal RNA (497 nucleotides) under uncultured bacterium. RNAcentral's name for it is "partial 16S ribosomal RNA". It matches the Rfam family "Bacterial small subunit ribosomal RNA", at positions 28 to 507 of the family's 1533-position model. The record is from RNAcentral.